Molecule: ribosomal RNA, 146 nt
Filed under: Escherichia coli
Lineage: Bacteria; Pseudomonadati; Pseudomonadota; Gammaproteobacteria; Enterobacterales; Enterobacteriaceae
Also listed under: 1 other name
Description: partial 23S ribosomal RNA
Rfam family: Bacterial large subunit ribosomal RNA
Source: RNAcentral
GGUUAAGCGACUAAGCGUACACGGUGGAUGCCCUGGCAGUCAGAGGCGAUGAAGGACGUGCUAAUCUGCGAUAAGCGUCGGUAAGGUGAUAUGAACCGUUAUAACCGGCGAUUUCCGAAUGGGGAAACCCAGUGUGAUUCGUCACA